UACGUAGGUGGCAAGCGUUGUCCGGAUUCACUGGGCGUAAAGCGCGCGCAGGCGGGCCAAUAAGUCCCGGGUUAAAUCCCACGGCUCAACCGUGGGCAGCCCCGGGAUACUGCUGGCCUUGAGGCAUCCAGAGGAGAGUGGAAUUCCCGGUGUAGUGGUGGAAUGCGUAGAUAUCGGGAGGAACACCAGUGGCGAAAGCGGCUCUCUGGGGAUGUCCUGACGCUGAGGCGCGAAAGCGUGGGGAGCGAACCGG
Molecule: unclassified non-coding RNA, 253 nt
Filed under: uncultured Chloroflexota bacterium
Lineage: Bacteria; Bacillati; Chloroflexota
Description: uncultured Chloroflexi bacterium contains 16S-23S intergenic spacer region
Rfam family: Bacterial small subunit ribosomal RNA
Source: RNAcentral